AGCCAAUAGAUACCCAGGUAGUCCACGCCCUAAACGAUGUCUACUAGUUGUUGGUGGAGUAAAAUCCAUGAGUAAACGCAGCUAACGCGUGAAGUAGACCGCCUGGGGAGUACGGUCGCAAGAUUAAAACUCAAAGGAAUUGACGGGGGCCCGCACAAGCGGUGGAUUAUGUGGAUUAAUUCGAUGCAACGCGAAAACCUUACCUGGCCUUGACAUGCCACUAACGAAGCAGAGAUGCAUUAGGUGCCCGUAAGGGAAAGUGGACACAGGUGCUGCAUGGCUGUCGUCAGUUCGUGUCGUGAGAUGUUGGGUUAAGUCCCGCAACGAGCGCAACCCUUGCCAUUAAUUGCCAUCAUUUAGUUGGGCACUUUAAUGGGACUGCCGGUGACAAACCGGAGGAAGGUGGGGAUGACGUCAAGUCCUCAUGGCCCUUAUGGCCAGGGCUUCACACGUAAUACAAUGGUCGGUACAGAGAGUUGCCAACCCGCGAGGGGUAGCUAAUCUCAGAAAGCCGAUCGUAGUCC
This 524-nucleotide ribosomal RNA is filed under the name uncultured bacterium. RNAcentral's name for it is "bacterial SSU rRNA". It matches the Rfam family "Bacterial small subunit ribosomal RNA", at positions 767 to 1294 of the family's 1533-position model. The record is from RNAcentral.